UAACCUGCCCAAGAGAUCGGGAUAACACCUGGAAACAGAUGCUAAUACCGGAUAACAACAGAUGAUGCCUAUCAACUGUUUAAAAGAUGGUUCUGCUAUCACUCUUGGAUGGACCUGCGGUGCAUUAGCUAGUUGGUAGGGUAACGGCCUACCAAGGCGAUGAUGCAUAGCCGAGUUGAGAGACUGAUCGGCCACAUUGGGACUGAGACACGGCCCAAACUCCUAAGGGAGGCAGCAGCC
RNAcentral lists this ribosomal RNA (240 nucleotides) under uncultured Lactobacillus sp. RNAcentral's name for it is "partial 16S ribosomal RNA". It matches the Rfam family "Bacterial small subunit ribosomal RNA", at positions 122 to 355 of the family's 1533-position model. Lineage: Bacteria; Bacillati; Bacillota; Bacilli; Lactobacillales; Lactobacillaceae. The record is from RNAcentral.